Molecule: transfer RNA, 75 nt
Filed under: Clostridiales bacterium
Lineage: Bacteria; Bacillati; Bacillota; Clostridia; Eubacteriales
Also listed under: 4 other names
Description: tRNA-Trp
Rfam family: tRNA
About the family: Transfer RNA (tRNA) molecules are approximately 80 nucleotides in length.
Source: RNAcentral
AGGGGAGUGGCUCAAUGGUAGAGUAGCGGUCUCCAAAACCGUAGGUUGCGUGUUCGAAUCGCGUCUCCCCUGCCA